Gasterosteus aculeatus aculeatus (three-spined stickleback) is the source of this 1965-nucleotide long non-coding RNA. Lineage: Eukaryota; Metazoa; Chordata; Actinopteri; Perciformes; Gasterosteidae. The record is from Ensembl.
CUCAGCUAAACUAACAGACGAGGAAACUGAAGAGUGUUGUUCGAGGAAAACAAAGAAAGAAUUGGUCGUAAUUCCUUAAAUGAGUCAUUAAUAAAAUACUAAAUAAAAAUGUUGGGAAAUUACACUUGUUUUAUUCUUGUUUCAGACAUUUUACAGAAUCAAUGAUGACAAAGUAACUUAGUUUGUUACAUGAACCAGAUUUUAUUGAUUGCAUUUGCAUUUAUUUGUUUCCUGUCUGGUGCUAAUGACCAUGAAGCUAACAGUUUCAUUCUGAACAAACUGAACCUCUAACUUGUAACUAAAGGCUGGCGCAUGCUUAAGUAAAAUCAAACCGUACCAACAGAAACGGGUGCGUUAUGCGUACUGUAGUGCUGUUGUGACCCAGCACAGAGGGAACGUUCACUUUGAGGCGGGAGACAUCCGGCCAGGCCCCGCAGAGUCUGCUUUAAGGCCAGGCCUUCAUGAACGCCGGCGGCUGAACGAACCACUAAGCCGGGACACCUGAACGCAGCACAGCUGAAGAGAGAAAGAGACAGACAGGUGAGUGAGACAGGUUAAGGACAUUGAAGUAUCACAUUAACGCAGUGGUUCUCAAACUGCGGGUCGCAGUGGUGUUACAGGUGGCUCGCAUUGGGGAAAUUGGGAAUGAUUUUAUUUUAAGAACUUUAUUGAGAACUUCCCAUAUUACAAAAGUACAAAGUACACAGACUGCUGUUGCCGAGAUUCAGAUCCAGGCUCAAAAUUGUGGAUGAAUUGAAAGGCCGCAUCAAGUUUGCAACCAUGUUUUGAAAAAAUUUGUAGUGGAAAUCAGGGUCAUCGCAGCCACUACAUGUUUUAUCAGUAUGAGAUGGCUUCAUAGAUAUACCAAGAUGGUUUUACAUUUUAUUUGUUUUUGUCUAAUGGAGCAAUCUGGUUUACCAUAAAGGGAUUGCAAUUGUUUAAUUCCAUUAUUCCACAAAGCACAACAUGUUAUUUCAAUAAAAAUUCAACAUGUACAAUUUGGUUGGGACGUGAACAUUUUUCUUCCUCCAAAGUGGAUUGUGACAGAAAGUUUGACAACUACUGCAUUAACUAGAUAAAAAAACAUCAGGAUGUAGGGCUGCGCGUUAUGGCCAAAAAUCCAUAUCACGGUAUUAAGGAAGUUUCUGACGGUAUCCCGAUAUUGUUUUUAUUGCAUUGACCCCGAAAAAGGCCGCCGGCUACCCGAACAGCUGUUUGCAAUUGGCCAGUGUAUUAGCUCGUUAGCUUGUUGUGGCUGCAAGUGUUGCCACCAGAGGCUUGAUAGACCAGAUUUUUGGAUUUUCCAAAACAACCCUGUUAAGGAGAUCAUUCCUGCCCAGUGCAAUAACACUUUACAAUAAAUCAUCCCUGGCUAAAUAAUGACAAUAAUAACAACCCUGUACUGCUGUGAUGCUGCUGCUCUUCCUCUUCUCCUUUUACAAAUUAUUAUUAUUGUCUCUUUUGGAAGGUUCUUCUUUUGUUUCAGUUUUAGUUUAUUUAAUUUAAUUUAAUAAUUUAAUAUUUCUAUCUUAUUAUAUUGUAUAUAAUGUGUAUCUUUUUAUUCUAUUUUCUUCCCUGUACAUGCUGCUGUGAUACCAACAUUUCCCUCUUGAGGGAUCAAUAAAGUAUCUAUCUAUCAAUCUAUCUAUCUAAAUAGUAUUUGUUGUGGGUUAUUCAUUGUUGUUAUAAAGUUGUGACCAUGACUCAAUCUCAACACACGUAAGAGAAGUAGCUCUGACCGCUGGAGACUCCUCCAUGACGGGUAAAAAUAAAUUCUGCCGCCUGCCGAAGAGCAACGUCGGUCGUAACACCGGUAUGAACGGUACAUGAGAAAUUAAUACCGUAUGGAAAUCUUUUACCGGAAUAUCCUUUGGACCAGUGUACCGUGCAGCCCUACAAGGAUGAUAUUCUUUCAGCUGCAGCCGUGUGAAGCAUAAUAAAUAUAUGAAUAUAGAGCUUUCCUUC